UGGGGAAUAUUGGACAAUGGGCGCAAGCCUGAUCCAGCCAUGCCGCGUGAGUGAUGAAGGCCCUAGGGUUGUAAAGCUCUUUCACCGGUGAAGAUAAUGACGGUAACCGGAGAAGAAGCCCCGGCUAACUUCGUGCCAGCAGCCGCGGUAAUACGAAGGGGGCUAGCGUUGUUCGGAUUUACUGGGCGUAAAGCGCACGUAGGCGGACUAUUAAGUCAGGGGUGAAAUCCCGGGGCUCAACCCCGGAACUGCCUUUGAUACUGGUAGUCUUGAGUUCGAGAGAGGUGGGUGGAAUUCCGAGUGUAGAGGUGAAAUUCGUAGAUAUUCGGAGGAACACCAGUGGAGAAGGCGGCUCACUGGCUCGAUACUGACGCUGAGGUGCGAAAGCGUGGGGAGCAAACAGG
RNAcentral lists this ribosomal RNA (404 nucleotides) under Actinomycetes bacterium. RNAcentral describes it as "Actinobacteria bacterium partial 16S ribosomal RNA". It matches the Rfam family "Bacterial small subunit ribosomal RNA", at positions 355 to 776 of the family's 1533-position model. Lineage: Bacteria; Bacillati; Actinomycetota; Actinomycetes. The record is from RNAcentral.